AUUGAACGCUGGCGGCAGGCCUAACACAUGCAAGUCGAACGAGUGGCGGACGGGUGAGUAAUGUCUGGGAAACUGCCUGCUGGAGGGGGAUAACUACUGGAAACGGUAGCUCAUACCGCAUACAAUCAGAUGUGCCCAGAGGGGAUUAGCGAGUAGGUGGGGUAAAGGCUCACCUCGGCGACGCUCCCUAGCUGGUCUGAGAGGAUGACCAGCCACCCUGGAACUGCGACACGGUCCAGACUCCUACGUGAGGCAGCAGUGGGGAAUAUUGCACAAUGGGCGCAAGCCUGAUGCAGCCAUGCCGCGUGUAUGAAGAAGGCCGUCGGGUUUUAAAGUACUUUCAGCGGGGAGGCGUUACCCGCAGAAGAAGCACCGGCUAACUCCGUGCCAGCAGCCGUGGUAAUAC
RNAcentral lists this ribosomal RNA (406 nucleotides) under uncultured bacterium. RNAcentral describes it as "partial 16S ribosomal RNA". It matches the Rfam family "Bacterial small subunit ribosomal RNA", at positions 30 to 526 of the family's 1533-position model. The record is from RNAcentral.